AAGGUCCCAAGCGUUGUUCGGAAUAACUGGGCGUAAAGCGUGUGUAGGCCGCGCGGAAAGUCGGAUGUGAAAGCCCAAGGCUCAACCUUGGAACUGCAUCCGAUACUCCCGUGCUAGAGUAAUGGAGAGGUAAGUGGAAUUCUCGGUGUAGCAGUGAAAUGCGUAGAUAUCGAGAGGAACAUCAAUGGCGAAGGCAACUUACUGGACAUUCACUGACGCUCAGACACGAAGGCUAGGGUAGCGAAAGGGAUUAGAUACCCCUGUAGUCCUAGCAGUAAACGGUGCUCGCUUGGUGUGGGAGGGUUCGACCCCUUCUGUGCCGGAUCUAACGCGUUAAGCGAGCCGCCUGGGAAGUACGGUCGCAAGACUAAAACUCAAAGAAAUUGACGGGGACCCGCACAAGCGGUGGAGUAUGUGGCUUAAUUCGAUGCAACGCGAAGAACCUUACCUAGGCUUGACAUGCUUGUCGUAUUCUCCCGAAAAGGAGAAGUCGCUUCGGGCGGACAAUGCACAGGUGCUGCAUGGCCGUCGUCAGCUCGUGUCGUGAGAUGUUUGGUUAAGUCCAGCAACGAGCGCAACCCCUGUGAACUGUUGCCAGCGAAUAAUGCCGGGGACUCUGUUCAGACUGCCCAGAUCAACUGGGAGGAAGGUGGGGACGACGUCAGGUCAGUAUGGCCCUUACGCCUAGGGCUGCACACGUACUACAAUGCCCAGCACAAUGAGAACCGAUACCGUGAGGUGGAGGCAAUCUGUAAAACUGGGCCCAGUUCGGAUUGGAGGCUGCAACUCGCCUCCAUGAAGUUGGAAUCGCUAGUAAUGCCGUAUCAGCUACGACGGCGUGAAUACGUUCCCGGGUCUUGUACACACCGCCCGUCACAUCAUGGAAGUCGGUCGCACCCGAAGUAUAUGCGCUAACUCCUCGGAGAAGCAUUAUCCUAAGGUGAGGCUGGUAACUGGGAUGAAGUCGUAACAAGGUAGCCGUAGGGGAACCUGCGGCUGGAUCACCUCCUUUCUACGGAGUAAGAGUCUUUAAUAGACUCGGUCGACACCUAACUUAAUCGCAGCGAGUUUUACUUGACUGCGUUUGAUGGUGGAAGUGCCAGAAAUGGCCUUCACAAAUAUUUGAGUGACCACUAACGCACCCCUUUUUUAGAGGCGCAGUGCACAAUCUGAUUUUUUGUCUUUCACUCACCGUAAAGAUUAUAUGGGGGUUUAGCUCAGUUGGUAGAGCGUCUGCUUUGCAAGCAGAAUGUCAACGGUUCGAAUCCGUUAAUCUCCACCAAUUUUUUUCUAAGCCUCUCAAUCUUUCGAGUCGCUAAUGAUUUAAUUGGGCUUGUAGCUCAGUUGGUUAGAGCGCACGACUGAUAAUCGUGAGGUCGGCAGUUCGAGUCUGCCCUGGCCCACCAUCUUUACAACAACUCCACUGGUAAGAGUUACCAGUGCUGAGAGUGAAUUGACUACUACAUCUUUCUUGUGAGACCCAUAUUGCGAAUAUGAGCGCCGCUCUUUGACAUCCGUGUGAAGUUUUUCCAGACUGUGGAGUUGGAUUUAGAUUUAAAUUUAGAUUCAUUUCGAUUCAGCUCCCAUGAUAAAUGAAAUACAGAUACUGAGUCUGUCUUGCAGUCCUUGGAAAAGACUACCAAUCUAAUUUUUAUGGCGAAGAGCAGUCCUAGUGACUGACUCUUCAGAGAAGCAGUCUUAAUUGGCUGACUUUUCAAAACCUGAUUUCAAGAGAAAUUAGGAAUUAAGUUAUUAAGGGCAUAGAGUGGAUGCCUUGGAGCUAGAAGGCGAUGAAGGACGUGAUAAGCUGCGAUAAGCUUCGGUGAACUGCAAACAAGUGCUUGAACCGGAGAUUU
This 1856-nucleotide small RNA is filed under the name uncultured Arctic sea ice bacterium. RNAcentral's name for it is "bacterial SSU rRNA". The stretch from base 1 to 1012 matches the Rfam family "Bacterial small subunit ribosomal RNA", at positions 528 to 1533 of the family's 1533-position model. The record is from RNAcentral.